AGAGUUUGAUCCUGGCUCAGGACGAACGCCGGCGGCGCGCCUAACACAUGCAAGUCGAACGGAACUUGAGGGAGCUUGCUUCCUUAGGCUUAUUGGCGAACGGGAGAGUAACGCGUGAGGAACCUGCCUCAGAGUGGGGGACAACAGUUGGAAACGACUGCUAAUACCGCAUAAGCCCACGGGUCCGCAUGGUCCUGAGGGAAAAGGAGCAAUCCGCUUUGAGAUGGCCUCGCGUCCGAUUAGCUGGUUGGUGAGGUAACGGCCCACCAAGGCGACGAUCGGUAGCCGGGCUGAGAGGUUGAACGGCCACAUUGGGACUGAGACACGGCCCAGACUCCUACGGGAGGCAGCAGUGGGGAAUAUUGCACAAUGGGGGAAACCCUGAUGCAGCGACGCCGCGUGGAGGAAGAAGGUCUUCGGAUUGUAAACUCCUGUUGUUGGGGAAAAUAAGGAUGGUACCCAACAAGGAAGUGACGGCUAACUACGUGCCAGCAGCCGCGGUAAAACGUAGGUCACAAGCGUUGUCCGGAAUUACUGGGUGUAAAGGGAGCGCAGGCGGGUAUGCAAGUUGGAAGUGAAAUACAUGGGCUCAACCCAUGAACUGCUUUCAAAACUGUGUAUCUUGAGUAGUGCAGAGGUAGGCGGAAUUCCCGGUGUAGCGGUGGAAUGCGUAGAUAUCGGGAGGAACACCAGUGGCGAAGGCGGCCUACUGGGCACCAACUGACGCUGAGGCUCGAAAGUGUGGGUAGCAAACAGGGUUAGAUACCCUGGUAGUCCACACCGUAAACGAUGAUUACUAGGUGUUGGAGGAUAGACCCCUUCAGUGCCGCAGUUAACACAAUAAGUAAUCCACCUGGGGAGUACGACCGCAAGGUUGAAACUCAAAGGAAUUGACGGGGGCCCGCACAAGCAGUGGAGUAUGUGGUUUAAUUCGACGCAACGCGAAGAACCUUACCAAGUCUUGACAUCCUGCGACGGUGCUGGAAACAGUACUUUCCUUCGGGACGCAGAGACAGGUGGUGCAUGGUUGUCGUCAGCUCGUGUCGUGAGAUGUUGGGUUAAGUCCCGCAACGAGCGCAACCCUUAUGGAUAGUUACUACGCAAGAGGACUCUAUUCAGACUGCCGUUGACAAAACGGAGGAAGGUGGGGAUGACGUCAAAUCAUCAUGCCCUUUAUGACUUGGGCUACACACGUACUACAAUGGCGUUAAACAAAGAGAAGCGAAGUCGCGAGGCAGAGCAAAACUCAAAAACAACGUCCCAGUUCAGAUUGCAGGCUGCAACUCGCUUGCAUGAAGUCGGAAUUGCUUGUAAUCGCAGAUCAGCAUGCUGCGGUGAAUACGUUCCCGGGCCUUGUACACACCGCCCGUCA
RNAcentral lists this ribosomal RNA (1372 nucleotides) under uncultured bacterium. Its description in RNAcentral is "bacterial SSU rRNA". It matches the Rfam family "Bacterial small subunit ribosomal RNA". The record is from RNAcentral.